Molecule: long non-coding RNA, 1066 nt
Filed under: Mytilus galloprovincialis (Mediterranean mussel)
Lineage: Eukaryota; Metazoa; Mollusca; Bivalvia; Mytilida; Mytilidae
Source: RNAcentral
UCCCUAUAAUCAAAUGAUGAAACACAUCAAACGAAUAGACAACAACUCUCAUAUUCCUGACUUGGUACAAGCAUUUGCAAAUGUAGAAAAUGGUGUAUUGAACCUAGUUUAAUAACACUAAACUUCUCACUUAUAUAACAGUUGCAUCAAAUUCCGUUUUUUUACAACUAUGCGUGAACAAAACACGUAAUCGGUAAACUGAAGAAAUAUGCUUUGAGUUAUUAUUUUUUUUUUAUACAUUUUGAAUAAAUAUAACUGUUUCUAAUCAAUAAAAAUGUAAUCUACUGGGGUCAAGAAUUAUUCAGAAAAUGUGUGUUAUCAUUCUUCUUUGCUAAAUUAUGUCCAUAUGUCUUUUCUUAUUUUUGACAACUGACUUGGGACAGACACGUGGAGAUUUUUGCGGGGCUUAACAUGUUUAAUUAAAACAACUUCGUAUCUCUUGCAAUACUUCUGAACUGAACAUGUUGAAUGCAGAUUACUUGUUCCCUGAAAUAUGAUAGAGGCAGUUGGGUAGUUAUUAAGGAAACGUGUUGUGACAUUGUACAUGUAUUCCCAUAGAUUUAAUUUGACACCUGUACAUUAUGGUUGAAUUUUUGCUUCAAUGAAAUCAUUUAGCGGUAAGGAAACGGUUGGAACUCGGUAUAUCGUGCAUGUACAAUAUACAUGUAUAAGCCCACCUCCGGGUGUCGAGAGUCUAUUAUUGGCCUUCGGCUGUUUUGUGCUCUUUGAUCGGGUUGUUGUCUCUUUGACAAAUUCCCAUUCUAUUUUUUUUUACUCUUUUGAGUUUCCUACUAUAUGUUUACAAACUGUCCUGUUGAGUAAAACAACUAGAAUAUUCCCUCAAGACCUUUCACAUUAUACUGUGACAUCUAUAUUAUCCUGCUCUUUUUAUAAGAAGAAUGUUUUUCCAAGAAUAGAAAUGAAAACAUUAAUUGAAAAAAGGCAACUUCAAAUCUAUAUUUUAUUAUUACUUAUUUUAUACUACUUUUUAGUCCUAAUGUUACAAUUCACGAUUAUUAGAAUUGUGAAGUUUGGACUGUAUUAACAUUAUUACUUCAUACAUUUC